UAUAGAAAAUCUCUUCAAGACCAUGUCACCCAUGUUCAAACCGUUUUGCAAACUCUUCGAAACGAGCAUCUCUUUGCUAACAUGCAAAAGUGCCUUUUCGGCGUUGAUAAGCUUGUUUUCUUGGGUUUUGUUGUUUCCUCUAAGGGUGUUCAUGUUAAUGACUCAAAGAUCAAUGCCAUAAAAACUUGUCCCCAACCAACCAAUUUGCAACAAGUGCGUAGCUUCCUUGGUCUAGCCGGUUUCUACCAUAGAUUUGUGAAGGACUUUAGCACCAUUGCUUCACCUUUGCACGCUUUGAGCAAGAAAAAUGCGCCUUUUGUUUGGGGACCAUCCCAA
This 336-nucleotide ribosomal RNA is filed under the name Triticum aestivum (bread wheat). RNAcentral describes it as "partial small subunit ribosomal RNA". Lineage: Eukaryota; Viridiplantae; Streptophyta; Magnoliopsida; Poales; Poaceae. The record is from RNAcentral.